This 484-nucleotide ribosomal RNA is filed under the name uncultured bacterium. RNAcentral describes it as "partial 16S ribosomal RNA". It matches the Rfam family "Bacterial small subunit ribosomal RNA", at positions 30 to 507 of the family's 1533-position model. The record is from RNAcentral.
AUUGAACGCUGGCGGCAGGCCUAACACAUGCAAGUCGAGCGGAUGAAGGGAGCUUGCUCCUGGAUUCAGCGGCGGACGGGUGAGUAAUGCCUAGGAAUCUGCCUGGUAGUGGGGGAUAACGUCCGGAAACGGGCGCUAAUACCGCAUACGUCCUGAGGGAGAAAGUGGGGGAUCUUCGGACCUCACGCUAUCAGAUGAGCCUAGGUCGGAUUAGCCAGUUGGUGGGGUAAAGGCCUACCAAGGCGACGAUCCGUAACUGGUCUGAGAGGAUGAUCAGUCACACUGGAACUGAGACACGGUCCAGACUCCUACGGGAGGCAGCAGUGGGGAAUAUUGGACAAUGGGCGAAAGCCUGAUCCAGCCAUGCCGCGUGUGUGAAGGAGGUCUUCGGAUUGUAAAGCACUUUAAGUUGGGAGGAAGGGCAGUAAGUUAAUACCUUGCUGUUUUGACGUUACCAACAGAAUAAGCACCGGCUAACUUCGUG